RNAcentral lists this ribosomal RNA (371 nucleotides) under Rhizobium sp. 180R. RNAcentral's name for it is "bacterial SSU rRNA". It matches the Rfam family "Bacterial small subunit ribosomal RNA", at positions 977 to 1346 of the family's 1533-position model. Lineage: Bacteria; Pseudomonadati; Pseudomonadota; Alphaproteobacteria; Hyphomicrobiales; Rhizobiaceae. The record is from RNAcentral.
GCUCUUGACAUUCGGGGUAUGGGCAUUGGAGACGAUGUCCUUCAGUUAGGCUGGCCCCAGAACAGGUGCUGCAUGGCUGUCGUCAGCUCGUGUCGUGAGAUGUUGGGUUAAGUCCCGCAACGAGCGCAACCCUCGCCCUUAGUUGCCAGCAUUUAGUUGGGCACUCUAAGGGGACUGCCGGUGAUAAGCCGAGAGGAAGGUGGGGAUGACGUCAAGUCCUCAUGGCCCUUACGGGCUGGGCUACACACGUGCUACAAUGGUGGUGACAGUGGGCAGCGAGACAGCGAUGUCGAGCUAAUCUCCAAAAGCCAUCUCAGUUCGGAUUGCACUCUGCAACUCGAGUGCAUGAAGUGGAAUCGCUAGUAAUCGCA